This 404-nucleotide ribosomal RNA is filed under the name uncultured bacterium. RNAcentral's name for it is "bacterial SSU rRNA". It matches the Rfam family "Bacterial small subunit ribosomal RNA", at positions 505 to 916 of the family's 1533-position model. The record is from RNAcentral.
GUGUCAGCAGCCGCGGUAAUACAUAGGUGGCAAGCGUUAUCCGGAUUUAUUGGGCGUAUAGGGUGCGUAGGCGGUUGAUUAAGUUUGAGGUUAAAGCCCGGAGCUCAACUCCGGUUCGCCUUGAAAACUGAUUAACUAGAAUACAGGAGAGGUAGAUGGAAUUCCAUGUGUAGCGGUGAAAUGCGUAGAUAUAUGGAGGAACACCAGUGGCGUAGGCAGUCUACUGGCCUGUAAUUGACGCUGAGGCACGAAAGCGUGGGGAGCAAAUAGGAUUAGAUACCCUAGUAGUCCACGCCGUAAACGUUGAGUACUAAGUGUCGGCAAUUGUCGGUGCUGCAGCUAACGCAUUAAGUACUCCGCCUGAGUAGUAUGCUCGCAAGAGUGAAACUCAAAUAAAUUGACGG